GAGCCUCCUGAUCUCUAUGCUGAACAACCCCAACUCUCUCAGCCUGUCUUCAUAGGUGGGGUGCUCCAGCCCUCUGAUCGUCUUUGUAGCCCUCCUCUAGGCCUGCUCCAAGA
Molecule: long non-coding RNA, 113 nt
Organism: Neopelma chrysocephalum (saffron-crested tyrant-manakin)
Lineage: Eukaryota; Metazoa; Chordata; Aves; Passeriformes; Pipridae
Exons: 3
Source: RefSeq, a predicted model, not a curated record